UCAGGAAUAAACCAUCACCAACCAUCAAAAAACCACCCUACUGUAGAAAUAAAAAUAUGCAAGACAUGGUCUCUGUGCUAAGGGAAGUAAUCCAGGCAGAGUACUAAGACUGUUAAACCCAGGCAGUCAAAUGUUAUACCACACGGUGGGUCUGACUCCACACUAACAGAAAGAAAUGUAUCCAUAUGAGUUACUGGGUCAAGGUUUCACUGAGAGAAAAAAAAAAACAAACUGAAAGAAAACUCAAGGAUGCACAAGUACAGGACUGCUUUGGUCAGAGGAAUGGACAAAAGUAUUCUGGGAAAAAAAUGGCCUGAAGUUAGCAAAGAAGCAAGGUAGCCACACAUACAGAAGAGAGUAAAGAACUUUUCCCUUUAAAAUCACUCUUGCCACUUGCAACCUACUUCCAAAUAGAGGAAAAGAAGGCAUUUCAUCAAGAUUCCUGUUACUGAAAUGCCUAAAAACCCAAAGGCAUUUCUGGUUGUAACAGAAAGAACUGAAAGAACAGCCCCUGUGAGGCUACUCUGUAAUACCAGAAGAAUGAAGGGCAGCAAACAGGAUGGGAACCAAACAUUUUCUGAUGUGUUUCCGUAAAAACAGAGGAACACAUGAAUAAAAAAUAAGAAAAGAAUAUAAGCAAAAACUUCAAAGAACAUGAAAUGCAAAUGGCUCUGAAACAUAAAAAUAUGCUUAAUCUAAUUUAUAUUAAAAUAAAUGUAAAAUAAAACUGCACUGAGAUAAUAUUUUCCAUCUAACAUACCAAUCAAAAUCUGGAAGUUUGAUAACACACAGCUGUCAAGGGUCAGGAGCAACCUUUGUGAAGGACAAUUAGUAUCAACCAAAACUACAAAUGCAAUCCCUCUUCUCAAAAUUUACCCUACAGAUGACUUAUGUGUAGGGUUAUUCACUAGAGCACUCACCAUUAUAGCAAAAUACUAGAAACAACCUAAAUCAAUAGAGAAAUGGUUAAAUGAAUUAUGGCACAUCCAUAACACAGAAUCAUGCAACUGUUAAAAAAAAGAAAGAAAGAAAGAAAGAAAGAAUGGGCCAGGCACGGUGUCUCACAUCUGUAAUCCCAGCACUUUGGUAGGCUGAGGUGGGC
Molecule: long non-coding RNA, 1102 nt
Filed under: Homo sapiens (human)
Lineage: Eukaryota; Metazoa; Chordata; Mammalia; Primates; Hominidae
Description: HSALNT0272481
Source: RNAcentral